This 1428-nucleotide long non-coding RNA is filed under the name Coturnix japonica (Japanese quail). RNAcentral's name for it is "lncRNA (ENSCJPG00005015400.1)". The record is from RNAcentral. Lineage: Eukaryota; Metazoa; Chordata; Aves; Galliformes; Phasianidae.
AAUGUUUUAUAUAUAUAUAUAUGUAACAUGUAAUCUGUAAAAUAUCAUCUUUAUUGUGCCAUUCUGCUAAUUGUACAUUUGUUGAUUACAUCCUGUGGUACUGGUUUAUGCUGUUGAAAAGGGGCUGUCCUUUAUUUCCUUUAUGUCCUGAGCACCUCACUGCUUGUUUAUUUUCAUUUGCUAGGGUGAGUAACCCCUCACAGUACAUUUUGGAAAGAAAUCCAAACACGUACAUAGGAUGAAAGCAUUCUGUUUUUUACUCUGCUGUGUAUAAUUGAAGGACAGUUCCUUCUCCACACUCGAUACUCUGUCAUUUAUACUUGCCCUGCCCUGUAGAUAUAGGGAUGUUUCUCACUAUUGUUCUAUCAGUGAGGGUUUAUUUUCAGUUGGAGCCCAUAAUACAUUUCCUUGGUGUGGCUCAUCUGCAAUGUGAAUGAACUUUCUGCCUAUUGUUGUCCCCUACUGGUAUAGCUUUUCAGGAUGUCAUUCAGGUUUUUUCUUGCACAGCGGAACAUGAAUACAGGAAACUGCAAAGGAUAGUUGAUGUGAAAUAAAGGUUUGAAAGGUUUGCUUUUAUGUUCAAGGAAAUUAGAUUGUAGCACUGUCUACUGUCCCACUUCUAAUACUUUGGACAUCAGCUCUGUAACUGAAAAAACUUCCUUUGAUCUCAUACUUGCACAUAAUUAACACCUCAACUUGCUGUUUAAAAAGGUGUUAGGGAGCAGGGCAGUACUGGCUUCCACCCAGGGGACUGGAAGCCAAGAGCUCGUCGUGAUCACACAGCUGCAGGGCAGAUGCUUAGUCAGCACUUAUCUGAGUAGGGCAUAACCAGCAGAGAUGCUCAGGUAUAGCUCACAGCUGGGGGCAUCAGGCAAGGCUCUGGUUACAGGGUCUGAGGCUAGGCCAGGAUGUCAAUCUGCAGUGAGACCAUUUGAUUUUGCUUGGGGUAGCUGGGAGUGUACAUGCCAUCAGUUAUAACAGCUCAUCUGACAGACAGGAGCAGGUAAAAUACUGUACCCUGUUUUUGCUAAGUCAUGUACUUAUUUCCUUAUUGUGGACUAUAUUAAUAUGUAUCGGGGCAUUUGUUCUAAAGACAGCAGAGUUGUAAAUCUGAUUAUAUAUGGUGAUAAAUGUGAAAUAUGAUGCAAAGUGUGAGGUGAGAAUAAGACCGUUUGAACUGUGAAUAAGAGGUUUUGUAAGACAGGAAGAUACUUUUCAGGGAAGUCUGAAUUAGGGCAAAUGUGAAAGAAUUAUCAAAUAAUGUGUCAUGUGCUGUUGUUUUCAUUGCUUUGAAAUGAUAGGUCCUUACUGCUAACUGGAAAUCUGAGGAAUUAGGACAGCAUCCUGUAUCUGAACAUCCUUCUUUAAGAAUGAUGCCUGAGUGCCUUUAGGCCUGCGUCCUUAGUGUCUGGGAGUGUUUGGGAGCAU